RNAcentral lists this long non-coding RNA (548 nucleotides) under Homo sapiens (human). RNAcentral describes it as "non-protein coding lnc-GPR157-2:1". Lineage: Eukaryota; Metazoa; Chordata; Mammalia; Primates; Hominidae. The record is from RNAcentral.
ACCCAACAGAAUGGAUGGGUGGGGUGAUUACCCUCAUAGCAGUAGGGGGGAGCAGGAGGGGGUGGCAGAGGCGGAGGAGGGAGCCCAUCCAGAGACGUGGUGACGUGGCCUGGACACGGGGGCAGUGGCAGAAGGUGGCAGAAGUACCCAGAGUCUGGAUCACUACAGGCGCCCACCACCAUGCCCAGCUAAUUUUUGUAUUUUCAGUAGAGACAGGGUUUCACCUUGUUGGCCAGGCUGAUCUUCAACUCCUGACCUCAAGUGAUCCGCCCACCUCAGCCUCCCAAAGGGCUGGGAUUACAGGUGUGAGCCACCGCACCCAGCCUAGCCGUUUCUCUUAAUUGCAACAGCGCGUGUGUUUCUGAGACCAACUCCAGCCCCAUGCUCACAGCUCCUUUUCUCCCGACAGGGUAUCGGGAACACGUUUCAGGGAGGUGCCAACUGCAUCAUUUGGAUUCCUAGUACCCAUUCAGCCAAAAAAUUUAAAAGCUUGGUGGUGUGUUGAAUACAAUAUUUUAGGGAAUGGCUGCAAAGGAGUAAAUUGUCCA